CAGGCUUAACACAUGCAAGUCGAGGGGCAGCAUGGUCUUAGCUUGCUAAGGCCGAUGGCGACCGGCGCACGGGUGAGUAACACGUAUCCAACCUGCCGUCUACUCUUGGACAGCCUUCUGAAAGGAAGAUUAAUACAAGAUGGCAUCAUGAGUCCGCAUGUUCACAUGAUUAAAGGUAUUCUGGUAGGCGAUGGGGAUGCGUUCCAUUAGAUAGUAGGCGGGGUAACGGCCCACCUAGUCUUCGAUGGAUAGGGGUUCUGAGAGGAAGGUCCCCCACAUUGGAACUGAGACACGGUCCAAACUCCUACGGGAGGCAGCAGUGAGGAAUAUUGGUCAAUGGGCGAGAGCCUGAACCAGCCAAGUAGCGUGAAGGAUGACUGCCCUAUGGGUUGUAAACUUCUUUUAUAAAGGAAUAAAGUUGGGUAUGGAUACCCGUUUGCAUGUACUUUAUGAAUAAGGAUCGGCUAACUCCGUGCCAGCAGCCGCGGUAAUACGGAGGAUCCGAGCGUUAUCCGGAUUUAUUGGGUUUAAAGGGAGCGUAGAUGGAUGUUUAAGUCAGUUGUGAAAGUUUGCGGCUCAACCGUAAAAUUGCAGUUGAUACUGGAUAUCUUGAGUGCAGUUGAGGCAGGCGGAAUUCGUGGUGUAGCGGUGAAAUGCUUAGAUAUCACGAAGAACUCCGAUUGCGAAGGCAGCCUGCUAAGCUGCAACUGACAUUGAGGCUCGAAAGUGUGGGUAUCAAACAGGAUUAGAUACCCCUGGUAGUCCACACGGUAAACGAUGAAUACUCGCUGUUUGCGAUAUACUGCAAGCGGCCAAGCGAAAGCGUUAAGUAUUCCACCUGGGGAGUACGCCGGCAACGGUGAAACUCAAAGGAAUUGACGGGGGCCCGCACAAGCGGAGGAACAUGUGGUUUAAUUCGAUGAUACGCGAGGAACCUUACCCGGGCUUAAAUUGCAGAUGAAUUACGGUGAAAGCCGUAAGCCGUAAGGCAUCUGUGAAGGUGCUGCAUGGUUGUCGUCAGCUCGUGCCGUGAGGUGUCGGCUUAAGUGCCAUAACGAGCGCAACCCUUGUUGUCAGUUACUAACAGGUUCCGCUGAGGACUCUGACAAGACUGCCAUCGUAAGAUGUGAGGAAGGUGGGGAUGACGUCAAAUCAGCACGGCCCUUACGUCCGGGGCUACACACGUGUUACAAUGGGGGGUACAGAGGGCCGCUACCACGCGAGUGGAUGCCAAUCCCCAAAACCUCUCUCAGUUCGGACUGGAGUCUGCAACCCGACUCCACGAAGCUGGAUUCGCUAGUAAUCGCGCAUCAGCCACGGCGCGGUGAAUACGUUCCCGGGCCUUGUACACACCGCCCGUCAAGCCAUGGGAGCCGGGGGUACCUGAAGUGCGUAACCGCGAGGAGCGCCCUAGGGUAAAACUGGUGA
This 1428-nucleotide ribosomal RNA is filed under the name uncultured organism. RNAcentral's name for it is "16S ribosomal RNA". It matches the Rfam family "Bacterial small subunit ribosomal RNA". The record is from RNAcentral.